RNAcentral lists this long non-coding RNA (278 nucleotides) under Elaeis guineensis (African oil palm). RNAcentral describes it as "long non-coding RNA (EGUI_LNC071279)". Lineage: Eukaryota; Viridiplantae; Streptophyta; Magnoliopsida; Arecales; Arecaceae. The record is from RNAcentral.
AAGUGCGGAAAACAGGUAGACACGGUUGAAGGCAAUGGGUUGAGUGGUUAAAGUAGAGGGAAUGGUGAAAAUAGGACUACCAAAGGGAUCAAUGAUUGGGGCAUUGAUGAUGGAGUGAUGGUUGAAAUUGGUUAGAGACAACAAAGACGGAAGCAAGCAAACUGAGACAGGUGGCUGGAGAUGCAGGGACCAGCCCGCGGUUGUUAAGGGUGAAGACCAAAAACAUCAAAGACGUGGAAAGGCAGUUGCACACAUACGGGUUGGGAGAAGAUCCAGGG